RNAcentral lists this long non-coding RNA (8051 nucleotides) under Homo sapiens (human). RNAcentral's name for it is "non-protein coding LINC00884:7". Lineage: Eukaryota; Metazoa; Chordata; Mammalia; Primates; Hominidae. The record is from RNAcentral.
AUACUUCCACCAGAACCUGACUCUGUGAAGGGAAUGGAGAGACAGAAAGGCCAUAGCGAGAGUGGCCACGAGAGCACUGCUAGGGCAAAGGGCCCUGGGUUUUUCUAGUCCUCACUGCCACAGAGUCCGAGUGGGAGGCCUCAGGCAAGUCAGAAGUCACUUUUCCUCCACGGGACUCACUCCUUUUAUCUGUGAAAUGCGGAGAUGGCAAGCAGCUCCAUACUCCACGGCUGAGGACGAGCUAGGGUCCCGCACAGACUCAUCGAGGGCCCUGCCAGCACCCCUACGCCUCUGCCCACAGGACCUCCACCUCCCACAGGACUUUCCGAAAGCUCUGACUACCAACCACCAAGCGCCCGGCCCCCACGCUCGCCCCCGGCAGGCGGCGCGUCCCCCCCAGGCCUUCGCACCCACCGCGUGGGCUCCUGCCCUGGCCUCACCUGCCCCCGACACUCCCCGUCCCCGCGAUGCCCAACUCCGGCCCGAGAAGGCUGGCCGCGACCUCGCCCGGUACCCGCCGCCCCGACACCACCAUUCGCCUCCUCGACCUCCCCCGGCGCCGCUGCCCACCCGCCCCUCGCCCCGCUCACCGGGGCCGCUCACUGGCCGCCGCCGCGCCGCCUCCUCCGCGGCCUCCCUCGCGGCCGGACCAGCCCCAGGGACCGCGGGGGACCCGGCCGCCGCUGUCGCCGCCGCCGCCUCGCCUCAGCCCAGCCCCAUCGCCCUCGGCCGGCGCCGCGCGCUGCGGCUCAGGGUGAGGGAAGGAGGCGCCGCGGCGGGGCCGGGCCGGCCCUGGGACGUCCGCGCUCUCCUCCUCCUCCGCGCCCGCGGCGGCGGCGUGCAGCCGGCAGGGCGAGAACAAGGGAGGGCGGCGGGAGGUGGGCAGGGGAGGGGGGCGGUCUGCACUCCGAAACGGCCCCCCCGCCGCCAGCGACGUAGAGAACCCCCCUCCCCUCCGCGGCGGCGCCCGAUCACGCUGCGGGGAGAGCCGGCAGGCAGGCGGGGGAGCGCGCGCGGGCUCAGGACUCCCGCGCCGGAUGUGAGGUCACGUGGUGGCUUCAUCCCCGCGCGGAGGGCGGAGGGGCGCGGGCGACGUCAGGAGGCGGGGAAGGGGCGGGGAGGGGCGGGGCGAUUUAUAGGCCCCGCCCACCCAUCGCCUUUGCCACCCUCGAACGGGCAAAAGAAAGAAAGAGGCAGCCACCCUCGCCCCCGCCAAAACAAACAGACAAAAAACUGUCAUUCUCAUAUGACCACGGACUCUGCGCCCCGGCCGCAGGCGGAGGACAGGGAGGAGCGCACACGAGAAAGCUCCCACGCGCCCGCGCCUCGCCUCCGACGGGAAGGCGCCUCUUCCGACCGUCCUGGAUGCAAAUUAAAUACUUCCCUCCGCAGAAGACUUAUCUCGGGGUAGGGCCGCAGCCGGAUUUCCAAAUCGCGGGUUUGAUUUUCGCUGCGUCCUCUCCGCGACGCGCGCAGGGAGCGCGCCCGGCCACCUGCAGCCUCUGGCUGCGGCCAUCUUUCCGCCUGGGGCCACCUGGCCUGCGCCCUUUGUGCCCGGCCCGCUCCGUGACUGUUCUUCUUGCCGCUACUUACAGAACUCAGCCGCCUUAGCGUCUUAGAGAAGAGGACGGCAUGCAUGCGGACCCCGUCCACCACACCUGGAGAGCAGGGAGCCCUUAGUCCCUGGACACUUACCAGGGCCGCCACCCCUGGUCCACGCACGUGAUGACAUCUCACCAGGGGCAGCACACCGCCCGAGUCCGCGACACUGAUAACACCUCCUGCGGGCAGGAGGGCGCCACAGCCACCCCUGGUCCCCUAGAUUGUGUGAGGCUAGCAUUUCUGCCCGCCUCUUGGCGUGGACAGCACGCUGGACCGAGAUGGAACCACAGCUUUCUCUUCCCAAUCCCUGGCCUCACCGUUUUGUUUCAUACCUCACCGUUUGUUUCAAACCUCGUGGUGUUGAAAUGAUUAAAUGAGAUUAAGGGGCAUUCCUCAGGCCUUAUCUCUCUGGUUCUUUCUGCUACAUUUGACACCUUGGGAUGACUCUCACCUUCUGGAAUCUCUCUACUACCUUGGUUUCAGAAGAGUGAACCCUCUGGAUUAUCACAUGAAGCUACUUCCUGUGAGCAGCCCAGGGAUGGCCAGUCACUUGUGACCUACUUUCAGAGCUGGCAGUUCUGACUUCUAGAACAAACUCGGAACAAGCCCAUCUACAGCUGGUUGACUGAGUUUCCUUUGGGCUCCUGGCACCAGAAAGAAUUGCUCACUGGAAGGAUCAUAGGUGGCACUCAUGUCUCACUGCCCCACUCAGGGAGAUGGGGCCCCAUGGUUGUGCUUUAAGGAUGCUGUGGACUCCCUACAAUGUCAGCAACUGCUGUGUGCACCUGUAGCUCUCCAUUUCUCUCGAGAGAAGUCCUGUAGUUCUUCGCAAAUCCUUUUCAAAGGGGACUCGUGAUUCCAGAAGCAUCGAAGCCUUGAGGCUUGCCUGGAGAUUUUAGGUCUGGUGGCUGCAGAUGCAUAUGAGAUGUGGACUGCAAGAUAUUUCUCUACUGUUCAAAUCACGUGUUGGAGGCGACUCCCUAAAGUCAUAGGAUCUCAAAAUUGAAAGGAGCCUUAGGAAUAACCUAGUUUUCAGCACCGAAGCGAAGCUCUCAAGACUUUGUCAAAGGUCAGGCAGUUAACUUAAUGGCCGCAGGAAAAGCAAAGUCCAGGUCUCCCCUCUGCUUCUGCAAAGAACCGGUUCUGUUGGUCCAGUCGCUUGAGUUCCUACAUGAACCCAAAAAAACCAGUGAACAUCCUUCUGCAGGCUACAAAGCACUACGAUCUGCUUCCCUCCCUACCUCCUUCUCCUGACAUCCCCUCCUCCUGUCCUGCCCAGGUUCACUCCUCGCCCACCACGUGGUCUGCUUAGGGCUCCCACACAGCAAGCAUGUGCCCCCUUAGGGCCUGCGUCCUGGCUGCUCCCUCUCCUCGCUGCUCUUCCUCCCAGUACUCGGUUGGUUACUGCCCCAUCUUCGUCAAGCUGCCCACGUCUCACCUACUCCAUGUGAUUUACCCUGACCGCCCUGUUCAACACUGUAACUCCCUCCACCCCCGCCCCCCACCCCACCAGCAAUACUCAGUUCCGCUGCUUAUUUUUCCCAUAGCACGUGUCACCUUCUAAUACCCUAUACAAUUUGUCAGUUUUUUCCAUUUGAGUAUAAGCUCCACCAGGGCAGAGAUCUUUGUUUUAUUUGCUGAUAUAUCCCAAGAGCCUAGAGCAAUGCCUGGCACAGAGAAGGUACUCAAUACCGAAAACUCUUUUCUUUUUUUUUUUUUUUUUUGAGGCAGAGUCUCACUCUGUCACCUAGGCUGGGGUGCAGUGGCACGAUCUGGGCUCAAAGCAACCUCUGCCUCCCAGGUUCAAGCGAUUCUCCUGCCUCAGCCUCCUGAGUAGCUGAGACCACAGGCGUGCGCCACCGCACCCAGCUAAUUUUUUUGUAUUUUUACUAGAGAUGGGGUUUCACCAUGUUGGCAGGGCUGGCCUUGAACUCCUGGCCUUAAGUGAUCAGCCUGCUUUGGCCUCCCAAAGUGCUGGGAUUACACCACGCCCAGCCACAAUACUGAAAACUUGCUGAAUGAAUGAAUGAAUAUUCUCUCUCUGAAAAUUAGGACAUAAUUCCAAUUUAAGUCCCGAUAAAAGGAGCCACGAAGAGGCAAAAGAAUUAGGCAGGAAAGGUUGGGGUAGUGGUUACACUAGAUGCUUUACAGUUAUUUAUAGGGCAGGACUUAAACUCUUGGUUUGAUAAAAUAUAUGAAGGAGCAUAUAACUGACAGCUCAGCUCCGUUUUGCAAAGUGUCAGCCAGCACUUCUCUCUACACAAAACAGAUUAGUAACAUCUCUUCCUGCCAGAGGGCUUACAUGUUGCAAUUCUCUUGUAAAAAGUUUCUGAAUAUUUAAUAGUUGAAGUUGAAUGACUUUCUAAUAGGGUGUUGAUUUACUACAUCACUGACAUAAUUAAGAGGUAUCAAUUCAGGUCUGUUGGGAUUAAGUUUAUAACCCCCAAAGGUAAGCUUUCCGAGCCAAGCAAGUCAGAAAACAACAAGCACGUGAUGCAGAGGAACAUUGACACACCAGCUGAAGCCUCUGCAGCUGUGUUUUCCUAAGAUUCCCACCUUUGCUGCAGGCCCAGUGGGUGUCACCUUGUUCUGAGUGUGGGAGUGAAGCUACGGUGAACCCACAGCGUUAAGCCCGCGGUGGGGGACCCUGUGGGGGUCCCACAAACAGUCACCCUGAAGUUUUAAGCUUGGGAAGGAGACCCUGACCUAGUAUGUAUGGCGGUGGUCUAUUCUGAUCUACGAGUGUGGGUGUGGGUAUUCAUUACUAAAUUUCACUGUAAACUGCCAGGAAGAAAAUGUCAGCCUGUGGCAACUAAACACUCCGUGUGUUUCACUAGUAAUGACUUCCUCUCUUCUUUUUUUUUUUGUUUUUUUUCCUGAGACAGGGUCUUGCUCUGUCACCCAGGCUGGACUGCAGUGGCAUGAUCUUGGCUCCCUGCAGCCUCCACCUCCGAGGCUGAAGCAAUCCUCCCACCUCAACCUUUCUGGUAGCUGGGCCUACAGACGUGUGCCACCAUGCACAGCUAAUUUUUGUAUUUUUUGUAGAGACAGGGUUUUGCCGUGUUGCUCAGGCUGGUGUCGAACUCUUAGACUCAAAGAUCUGCCCACCUCAGCCACCCAAAGUGCUAAGAUUACAGGUAUGAGCUGCCACUUCACCCGGCCUUUUUUUUUUUGCCUUGAGACAGAGUCAUGCUCUGUUGCCCAGGCUGGAGUGCAGUAGUGCAAUCGUGGGUCACUGCAGCCUUGACUUCCUGGGCUCCAGCGAUCCUCCCACCUGAGCCUCCCGAGUAGCUGGGACUACAAGUGCAUGACACCACACCUGGCUAAUUUUAUAUAUAUAUAUAUAUACUUUUUUUUUUUUUUUUUUUUUUUUUUUGUAGAGAUGGGGUUUCACCAUAUUGCCCAGGCUGGUCUCAAACUCCUGGGCUCAAGCAAUCUGCCUGCCUCAGCCUCCCAAAGUGCUGGGAUUACAAGCGCAAGCCACGCACCCAGCCUCACUAGUGACUUUUCAUUGCAAGUGUGCGUGCACCAGGCACACUCCCACCUCAGGGCCUUUGCACUUGCUGUGCCCUCUGCCUCUACCAGUAGCCCUAUGGCUUUUGCUUCCUUACCUUUUUCAGGUCUUUGUUUAAACAUCCCCUCCUCACUGAGGCCUACAGUUGAAAUCCCUUCCCCUUGGCACGCUUUAUCCCCCUGUCCUGAUCUGUUGUUUUUUUUUCCAUAGCAUGAAUCACCAUCUGCCAUAUUAUAGAUGGUAGUUUAUUGAUUGUCUAUCUCCCCCUCCCCACUAGAAUGUAAUGUCUACAAGGGCAUUUUAUCCACUGUUCUCCAUGUCUAGAACUUUACUGGCAUAUAGAAUAUACUUUAAAGAUGUUUAUCAUUGAAUGAAUGACUCUUGCUCCACUCACAAAGUGUAAAUGUGUCUCCCAAGCCUAUCCUUACCCUGCUUAACACUAGUCCUGAUUAUCCCCCAUGCCGACAGCUUGCCUGUGUGGACUCCUGCCUGCUCUCUGUGCCAGGAUCCCGUGACAUGAAACAGAAUAAGUGCUUCAUAAACGGGAGUGACACUAGGCGUGGUGGCAUGCAUCUGGAGUCCUAGCUACGCGGGAGGCUGAGGCAGGAGGAUUGCCUGAGCCUAGGAGUUGGAGGCUCUAAUGCACUUGGAUAGCACCUAUGAAUAGCCAGUGCCCUCCAACCUGGGCAACAUAGUGAGCUCUUGUCACCAAAAAAAAAAAAAAAAAAGCUAGAAGAGAAUAAUUUGAAUAUUUCUAGCACAAAGAAAAGACAAAUAUUUAAGAUAAUGGAUAGCCCAGUUACACAGAUUUGAUCUUUACAAAUUAUAUGAAUGUAUUAAAUUAUCAUGGCUGGGUGCAGUGGCUCACACUUGUAAUCCCAGCACUUUUGGAGGCUGAGGUGGGUGGAUCAUCUGCGGUCAGGAGUUCCAGACCAGCCUGGCAAACACGGCAAACAUGUACUAAAAAUACAAAAAAUUAGCCAAGUGUGGUGGCAGGCACCUGUAAUCCCAGCAACUCAGGAGGCCGAGGCGGGAGAAUUGCUUGAACCUGGGAGGCAGAGUGCUUGCAGUGAGCCGAGACCGCACCACUGCUUUGUAGCCUGGGCAACAGAGUGAGAUGCCAUUUCAAUAAUAAUAAUAAACUAUCACAUGUAACCCCCAAAUAUGUACAUCAUUGUGUAUCAAUAAAAAUAAAUAAAUGUGAAUAAAUGACUGAGAGUAUGAAUAAUGCCAUCCCUCCAGCGCCCUUGCACUGUGGUUCUCCAGCACCUGCUACUUAGGUUUCUUCAGAUACCAGCUGCUCUGGGAGCUAUACCUUGUUUCAGGAUCUCAGUCACUGCCUUCAGCAGCCCACUAUCUGAUCCAAGCAGCCAUGGAUUCUCUUUUGUAUCCAGUCACUCCUGUACCCUCUUCCCUUUUAGGUUUUGCUACUGUCUUCAAACUUGCUUUGAAGAUUUGAGCUCCUGUGUCACCAGGUCACCCUCAGAGGCAUCAGGACAUGCUCUUCAAGUAAAGUCCAAAUGAGGGAUUAGACACUCUGGGCUUCAUUUCUCAGUGUCCUCUCUCAAGAGCUAGACUAUUACUUGCAUUUCUCAUCUCCUUGAAUCAUCAGCGCCUGGUGCUAUCAUUUAAAAUAGGGAAAGUUAUGAACUGGGUUAAAUUUUUUUUUUUUUUUUGAGAUAGAAUGUCACUUUGUUGCCCAGGCUAAAGUACAGUGGUGCAAUCUUGGUUCACUGCAACCUCCACCUCCCGAGUUCAAGCAAUUCUCCUGCCUCAGCCUCCCAAGUAGCUGGGAUUACAGGUGUUCACCACCAUGCCUGGCUAGUUUUUGUGCUUUUAGUAGAGACAGGGUUUCACCAUGUUGGCCAGGCUGGUCUCGAACUUAUGACCUCAAGUGAUCUGCCCGCCUCAGCCUCCCAAAGUGCUGGGAUUACAGGCGUGAGCCACCACACCCGGCCUCAAAAAAUAUUUUUUUAGAAAGAAAAAAGAAAGAAACAAAAACAAAUAAAAUAGGGAAAGAUGAUUAGUAAGUCUCUUCCUUUCCAGGGCCUUAGUUUUCCUACCUGUAAAAUACAGAGCAUGGUAUUUUUGGAGUCCAUGAAUCCACCAAGCACAGUAUCAUCUUUGCAUGGUGCUUUAAAGUAUAUAAAACAUUUUAGACAAACAAGAUCUUAUUUAACAAAAAAAUGCCCAAUAAAUGUUUGCUAACAGAAAUGAUAAUGCUGAUUCUGUGUGAGCUGAAAGAAGCCUGUUGAAGGUGAAUGUGUCGUCUAUCAUUAAGUCUGAGGACCAAUUAAAGUUAAAACAAGUAUGAGUCACUAAAUGUUAGAAUUAAUUUUGAAUCCCUUAGUUUAAUUCCUACAUGUUGUCAAUGCCUGAGGGAAAUGGUCUAGCCACAGGUGCCAGCUCAUAAGAAACGGGAAGGCCAGGUACGGUGGCUCACACCUGCCAUCCCAUCAUUUUGGGAGGCUGAGGCCAGCAGAUCAUUUGAGGCCAGGAGUUUGAGACCAGCCUGUGCAAUGUAGGGAGAUCUCUACAAAAAAGUAAUUAGCCAGACAUGGUGGUAUGCACCUGCAGUCCCCGCUGUUUGAGAGGCUGAGGCAGGAGGAUCACAUGAGCCUAGAAGUUCGAGGCCGCAGUGAGCUAUGAAUGCACCAUUGCACUCCAGCCUGAGCAAUAGAGUGAGACCUUGCCUCAAAAAUUAAAAAAUAAAAUAAAUAUAAAAAUAAAACAAGAGAGAGAGGGCACCGUCUCUGUGGUACUAUUUGGCUGUGUUACAUAACUGGCAUUUUAUUUGGAAAAAAAAAAUGUCCUCCAAGGGGUUCAUUUCCUCAGAUCAAAUGUCAUUCCAGGUGUUGGUAUGCAUUCGACGCGUGCAUUCUUCAGCCCUGGUUAUUCUGUUUUAUUUUAUGUAAAACUCUAUUUCAAAAUACAG